GGUUUUAUAGUCAAUUAUGAUCUUAAAUUGCAAAUUUAAGGGUGAAGUUAAUUUCUAAGACCU
RNAcentral lists this transfer RNA (63 nucleotides) under Brephilydia jejuna. RNAcentral describes it as "tRNA-Cys". Lineage: Eukaryota; Metazoa; Arthropoda; Insecta; Coleoptera; Cerambycidae. The record is from RNAcentral.